AAGCGAUCAGAGGUUUUUAUUAAGACUGAUGGUGUGCCUAUUGAAGAAUGUGCCGGCGACUUAAUGUUAGCAGCAAGGUUAAGUUUUUAUACGGAGCCAAAGCGAAAGCGAGUCUGAAUAGGGCGUGAGUUGCUAGCAUUAGACCCGAAACCGGGUGAUCUAUCCAUGGACAGGAUGAAGCGAAAGUAACAUUUCGUGGAGGUCCGAACUAGUGCAUGUUGAAAAAUGCUUGGAUGAUCUGUGGAUAGGGGUGAAAUGCCAAUCGAACCCGGAGAUAGCUGGUUCUCCUCGAAAUGACUUUAGGGUCAGCCUUGAGGUUAAGAAAUUAGGAGGUAGAGCACUGUUUAGGCUAGGGGUGUCACCAACAUUACCAAACCUAGGCAAACUCCGAAUGCCUAAUUUUCAUACUCAGGAGUGAGUCUUAGGGGGCUAAGCUCCUAGGACAAAAGGGAAACAGCCCAUGAUCGUUAGCUAAGGUCCCAAAAUCUAUGCUAAGUGGUAAAGGAGGUGGAAUUACUUAGACAACCAGGAUGUUGGCUUAGAAGCAGCCACCAUUUAAAGAAAGCGUAAUAGCUCACUGGUCGAGUGAUUCUGCGCCGAAAAUGUAACGGGGCUCAAGCAUAGUACCGAAGCUACGGGAUUAUUGAAUAAAUAAUCGGUAGAGGAGCGUUGCACAGUAGGAUGAAGUUAAAUCGCGAGAUUUGAUGGACGAAAUGUAAGUGAGAAUGUCGGCAUGAGUAACGAAAAAAUGUGUGAGAAUCAUAUUCGCCGUAAGACUAAGGUUUCCUGGGGAAGGUUCGUCCGCCCAGGGUGAGUCGGGCCUAAGAUGAGGCUGAAAAGCGUAGUCGAUGGACAACAGGUUAAUAUUCCUGUACUACCUUUAGUUCGUUAUUAGCAAUGGAGUGACGCAGAAGGAUAAAUUAGCCACUUAUUGGAUUGUGGUCCAAGCUUGUAGGGAGAAAAAAUAGGUAAAUCCGUUUUUUCGUUAAUCCUGAGAAGUGAGUGCGAAGUACCAGGCAACUGGGAUGAAGUAAUUGAGUCCACGCUGACAAGAAAACCUUCUAGCGAGAACUAAGGGUAACCGUACUAAAACCGACACAGGUAGUCGGGUAGAGAAUACCAAGGCGCGCGAGAUAACUCUCGUUAAGGAACUCGGCAAAUUAGCUCCGUAACUUAGGGAUAAGGAGUGCCUAUUAAGGUGUAAAUCCUCGCGAUUGAAGCUGAAAUAGGUUGCAAUGAAAUGACCCACGCGACUGUUUACCAAAAACACAGGUCUCUGCUAAACCGCAAGGUGAUGUAUAGGGGCUGACGCCUGCCCAGUGCUGGAAGGUCAAUAGGAGAUGUCAGUCGCAAGACAAAGCAUCGAAUCGAAGCCCCAGUGAACGGCGGCCGUAACUAUAACGGUCCUAAGGUAGCGAAAUUCCUUGUCGGGUAAGUUCCGACCCGCACGAAAGGCGUAACGAAGUGGGUACUGUCUCAACGAGAGACUCGGUGAAAUUGAAUUAUCCGUGAAGAUGCGGAUUACCCAUAGCAAGACAGAAAGACCCCGUGGAGCUUUACUGUAACUUGGCUUUGUUUUUUGGAAUAAUUUAUGCAUAUAUCGUGACUGGGAAACAGAUCGGAAGAGCACACGUCUGAACUCCAGUCACCUGAAGCUAUCUCGUAUGCCGUCUUCUGCUUGAAAAA
RNAcentral lists this ribosomal RNA (1686 nucleotides) under freshwater metagenome. RNAcentral's name for it is "bacterial LSU rRNA". It matches the Rfam family "Bacterial large subunit ribosomal RNA", at positions 568 to 2199 of the family's 2925-position model. The record is from RNAcentral.